AUACUUACCUGACAGGGAUGAUACCAUAAUCACAGAGAUGGUUUUUCUAGGGCAAGACUGAUCCAUUAACACUGGGGAUCUGCUGACCCCUGUAAUUUCCCCUGACUUUAAAAAAAGAAAAAGAAAAUUCACAGUUUCAC
Molecule: small nuclear RNA, 140 nt
Filed under: Dasypus novemcinctus (nine-banded armadillo)
Lineage: Eukaryota; Metazoa; Chordata; Mammalia; Cingulata; Dasypodidae
Description: U1 spliceosomal RNA (ENSDNOG00000041606.1)
Rfam family: U1 spliceosomal RNA
About the family: U1 is a small nuclear RNA (snRNA) component of the spliceosome (involved in pre-mRNA splicing).
Source: RNAcentral